UGAUUCAGAGAACAGUUGCAGAAUAAGUGACUGUGGGGUUCGUAUGCUCAUAACAAACAAAACCCUCCUCUGCCCAAGUUUCCGUCACUGUGCUGAAUUAAUUAUUGCUUUCGCCUAUCAAGAUCCCGAAUUUCAUAGAACUGGAACCAUAACACUACUCGUUUGGAUUAAUCAUAAUCCAGCUACUCACAGGAAGAACUCCAGCAGGUUUAGCGAGUGAAGUGCGCAGGGCUGUAUCCAGUGGGAAAGUAGCAUCCAUAUUAGAUUUAUCUGCUGGUGAAUGGUAAAUAUAUGUUGCUAGGAGAUUGGUGGACCUGGGAUUGCAAUGUUGUGAAUUGAACAGUCGGGAUAGACCUGAACUGAGUCCAACUCUCGUUAGGGAGCUGGAGCGCCUUCCUGUUCUAGAAGAGCAACCAGUACCAUCUUUUUUCUUAUGCCCAAUACUUAAAAAAAUAAUGCAUGACCCUCAAGUGGCAGCUGAUGGAUUCACCUACGAGGGAGAGGCAUUGCGUGGUUGGUUGGAAAAUGGCCACGAGACUUCUCCAAUGACAAACUUGAAACUAUGUCACUUAAAUCUCACUCCUAACCAUGCAUUGCAAAUUGCCAUUCAAGAUUGUCGUGUAUUUUGUUAAGACGUUGAGUUCCAUCUUAAAUGGUUAACCUUGUUAAGAGGAGUAGCACAAUCCUUUAUAAGAUGGUCUAUGCUUUCAUCUUUAUUCAAUGUGUGAUUUUAUCACUUAAGAUGUCCCACCACCUUGCAAGAUGGUGCCCCGUUUUAAGCAUAAUAAUAUCGAAAUUCUUAUGCUCUUUUUUAGAGUGUUAAUUCGAUCGAAUCGCUCGUUGGUAUUUAAUGGGAUUUGAUACCAUGUUGAGAUUUGGGACUUUAUCUUUAAAAGUUAACGUGUUAAGAGAAGUAGUCCAAUCCUCUAUAAGUUGAUCUAUAUUUUCAUCUUUAUUCGAUGUGAAAUUUUAUCCUUUAAAAUAUUUCAAGUUGUAUACAUUUACAUCUAGAUUAUGCUAGAACAUAGUUGUUGGUAUCUUUCGAUAUCAUUACUGUUAGGCAUUGUGUUACUAAUAGAAGCUGUUGAAUUGUCGUGUAAAACAAUUAUAGGGAGUCUUCCGGUUCCAUUGCUUGUAAAUUUCAUUUUUUUCCUGAACUAUGAUUGAGAUUGUUUUCUAUUUGGAAUAAGAUUUCUUUUCUUUUAA
Olea europaea var. sylvestris is the source of this 1206-nucleotide long non-coding RNA. RefSeq lists it as uncharacterized. The transcript is spliced from 2 exons. The record is from RefSeq and is a predicted model, not a curated record. NCBI's taxonomy places the organism in Eukaryota, Viridiplantae, Streptophyta, Magnoliopsida, Lamiales, Oleaceae.